AAGGUCCCUUCUCCCCGCUCAUUUUGUGUUUCUUAGGAGCCGAAAACGGCUGUUUUUAUCAGAAUUUCCGCCACCGAUCCCCCCCCAGUUCGCAGCGACGUGGAGAAGAAAGACUCUUGUUCCCCUCGGCCAAGUUUCCUUUCGGAGAGGCAACGGCUGGAUUGGCAAAAAUCUGAGUCAUCAUUGUUUAAGGAGACACUGCUGCGAUGAUUUUCCCACUACUUGAACAUAAUAAAACUUGCUCAAGUAAUCAGUAAGGAUUUUUCUUUCACGGCAAUUUCCUAAAUAUUCCAUUUUCUUAAUGUCCAGUGACUGGUCCCUACAUUGGAAGUAAUACUAAAAAUGGCAUGUCUUGAUGUAUCUGCUACACUGAAACAGUUGGCUGCUAAGCAGGAGGAGAGAGUCUUCAGAAGCACUUUUCCAAGACCAAACUUCAAUUAAAAAUAAAUGCACAUUGUUUUUCAGAGUACAAAGAAUUAAAAGUCGUCUCUAAUAUGUUUAUUAAUUAAUAUUAUUAGUAGUAUGUUUGUUAUUAUAUUGUUUUGAGAAAGGCCUGUAAACUCCUUUUGACCUCUUGAUAUUGUAACUGCUGAUGAUAGUAAAACUCUGGGCAGUGUUAGGAUUCAAGUAAUUUAUGCUUUCAAAAUUAUUAAAAUAUGUUUUUUGACCAAUAA
Lonchura striata (white-rumped munia) is the source of this 674-nucleotide non-coding RNA. Lineage: Eukaryota; Metazoa; Chordata; Aves; Passeriformes; Estrildidae. The record is from RefSeq and is a predicted model, not a curated record.